UAUUUGUAUGGAGCCUGCGCAAGGAUGACACACAAAUUCGUGAAGCGUUCCAUAUUUUU
RNAcentral lists this small nuclear RNA (59 nucleotides) under Lepidothrix coronata (blue-crowned manakin). The record is from RNAcentral. Lineage: Eukaryota; Metazoa; Chordata; Aves; Passeriformes; Pipridae.